GAACUGAACUGGUAAGCCUUCAGACAGGUUACACAUUGCAAUUGCUGCUUUGGAGCUCUCCUUGAAUCACUGUCUUUUGCUCUGACUAUAGAUCCUGAUGUGCUUUGUAAAUGGAAAUUCAGAAGGGAGCUGACUUUCGAGAUCAACAGAUCAAACAUACAGCUAGGACUUUCAGUCCAUUGAACUAUAAUGCAUAUGAAGACUCGACUACAAAUGUGUUGCUUGAAGAGGUCAUUCUUGAUAGAGUGAGCCAGUUCCUCAUGGUAUAAGUUGGCAGCAUGUCAUAAAAGUCAGUGCCUUGAAGUCAAUGGAUCUUUCCAUCAUAUAUAUGAAUUCUGCCUUAUGCCUAGCAUGUGACACACCCUUGGAAGAAGAGAUCGCAUGAAAAGGUAGAUGUAUACAGCUGCAGGAAGAAGAAGCCUAUGGGUAAGCAGAGAAGAUGGUUUGUUGAAGCACAGAAGAGCAGCGGAAGAAAACUGUAAUAAUUUUAUAUAAAUCCCAAGGGACAGAAUCUAUGGGAUACCAUGGAUGCAGGUGGAAGAGACGUUCCUAGGAAGAGGGAAGUCUACUACUGUGUGUAAGAAAAUGCUUUCUGCAAGAGUGUUCCAGGCCACAGGAGGACAUUAGUGGGAGAAAAAGGCCUGAUGAAGAGCUCCAUACAUGAGGAAGAUAAAUGGAAUUCAUCUCUCAAGUUUCUUCUUUGUGAGAUCAAUAAUGAAGGUGUUGAUUCAAGUUACUACUGAAGAGUGGUAGAAAAUUGGCCCAGCUGUAGGAGAUGAAGAAUCAGGAACAGGAUGAACGAUGUGGUUAUUGGGAGGAUAAGAAAAAUAAUAAAGACAAAGACCAUUUGGAAACACCCACACAUAGACAGUGGACAAAGGAAGAAAGAAAUGCUAACUAUAGAAAUAAGUUGUUUAUCCUGAAGAAAGUAAUUAUCAUUGUGCAGGAAGCACAAUGAGACAACAGCAGUUCAUCGAUAAGUAUUUGGAGGAAGCAAUUAACAGGAAUGAAUAAAAAUUUCCCUGUACAAGACACUUGAGUAUACCAGGCUGGUGUUAGUGGAUUCCAGAGAGCUUCCAUAACAGAAACAGAGGGAUGUUUACGCAAAAUAUGAAAAUGAGUAAAAGUUUCUCCAAAAUUUGCAAAUCAGUAAGACUAUGAAGAUGUAUGAAGACCAGAAUUGCCAAGGCUUUUCAUGCUAUGUACAACAUGAAAAAACUGAUACAAAAAAGCAAAAUCAUUUAUUUUCAAAGUGCAAAUACUACAGGGAGAAAAGUCAACUUUAAAGGUACUAUAACUAUAUCCAUACCUGUUUUGGUCCCUCUGAAUAUAUUACUUCUACUACCGUCGUCAUCCAUUAUGGCUUGGGAAGGGAACUAAGAAGAGAGGAAUAUGAUGUCAGUGGAACAGCAAAGCUUGCCUGCAUUUCCUCCCAGGAACAUAGGAGAACCAAGCGCUAGGCCUAGAGCCUAUGUUAAAUGUAUGAAUUGCUCUGCAGUCUGUAGGAGAGAGGAUAAGUAAGUGGGGAAUUCUCAUUAAGAAUGUCCACACCCUCCUCAGAUAUCAGUCACCUCAUAGAUGAGCAUUGACUUGCACAGGAGACUUGCUCACAACAUAUCCACUAAUUCUAAUUUCAGUCUUUGGUACAGGGUCCUUGUCCAAAUAUGCAAAGCCGCAUUCAACGACAGUAAAUCAACAUAAGAAUGCAGGGACAAGGUGAUGCAGAUACGCCCAAUUCAAAACAUUUGCAUUAAAGUGCACCUGAUCCAUAUAUGGUAGUUUGGAAGCUCAGAAGAAUUCAGUGAAUUCUGAUCAAUGCACGAGAUAUACAUGUACAGUUUAAAGGGAGCUCUGUAAAAUUAAGGAAGAGAUGCUGGCAAGAGGCCCACAAAGCACUGUCAGGUCCUGUCUUGCCAUGUCUCUCCUUGAAGUAAGCAAGUCAGUAAGUCGUGUUCACUUGAACAACUCCCGUGAAGGAAAGCAUUAGGUCUGGCAACUCCAUUCUGAGACAGUGAAUAGCAACAGAUCUUUUAGGAGGUCUCAGAAGAGGGUGGGAUUUUGAACUGUAUUACACUGUAGGUUGCCAGAGAGAGUGAUAAGAAAGACAGAAAAAAAUGAAGAAAGGGCAGAAGACUGAGAACAGGCAUCACUUGAAAGACCAUUGAGUUGUUUCUAUCACUUGCUGAAUUGCUCAGUUCCAUGUACAGCAAAUAAUUUUGCUAUCACUGCUGUCAUUGGUACAUUUAGUGGUUUGGGUGAUCUUUAUUUUGCUUCAAGAUGACCAUAUGAAGAAUCCAUGGAGUACAAAGGCAUGUUUUGCUUAACUUGAAUUCAGAUAGGUAGGUAUCCACUAAAGUUUUUUUUAUGUAUGUUCAUAUGCUUAACAAAAAUUUCUAGGCAAUUUGUGGAACAGUCCCUUAUUAAUGAUGCUCUUGACAAUAGCAACAUGGUUUCUUCCUUUCCAGAAAACAGCAGGGUAGACAUUAUAUAAACAUAAUCUUCCUGUAAAUCUUUUCCUGUGAUUGAACCAGGAUAAUUAGAUCUAGUUUUGCCAAAACCACCAGCAACAUAAUUCUAUGAAACUGUCUGGAGCUGAAGGCUAAUAAUUUCAAAAGUAAAUACAAUAUUUACAUUCAUCAGCCUAAUGGAAACAUAAUAAAGAUGUAGAAAAAAGUAUAGUCUAUUAUAAAAGCUGCUUAUAUUCUGUUCAAGUAACUUUAAUAUAAUUUUCAGUUUCUAUAUUACUGUUUUUAACAAUAAUACACCAAUUUUUUCAACCAAGAGGAAGACCCUCAACUAGUAUGUCUUGUGUACAAAAUUACAGUAAAAGGUCAUUCUCACCUCAGAUAGUUUAGUAUCCAAAUAAGCAACAUAAGAGAGAGAAGGAAGCUAGUUCUGUUGUCUCCAGCACACAUGGGAGAGGCCAAAAUACAUAGAUAUAGUCUAUGCAUGUGUGGAAUGAUGGCGGAGUGAACAACUCAGCCUAAUCAGAGUUACAGGUCAAGGAUUAAUGAAAAUGAACCCAAAUUGUUUAUUGUUUAUCAGACAUUCAGGGUGCAAUUUUCUAAACAUCUCCAAAGCAAAGAUUAACCCCAACAAACUUUAGAUAACUAAUGUGUCAAUCUUUUCCCUAAGCAAAAGUAUCUAAUGCCAUGUGAGAUGUUUGGUUACCAAGGACAUCUGCAAGAUGGUGGCCAAUUCAAUGCAACACCUGCAGAAAAUCUACAGACAUUGGGAUCUCAGCAGUAGGGCAGAUGCGGUGGUCUGCAGACUCUCCGAGUGCUUAGAUGCCUACGAUGAUAAGCAUCUAAAACAAACCUUAAGUGAAAAACAUUUAUUGGUCAUCUGCAUUUUCUAUGCUGUCUCUAUAUUUAGUAGAAUGAGAUACUGAUCUUCAGUAGGACAAACUGCUCUCUGGAGGUGCCACUCUUUCUCCACUGACUUUAGAGAGAACCUUGGCUAAUUGUGUUCCUGAAGAAGGUUCUGAAUUUAGGCAUUGAGUUGGUUUUUUACAUACUGUUUUUGCUGUCUUCUAGUAGAUGUACCCUAUACAGCCUUAGACAAAAGGCUCAGUGUUUUUCAUUGCUAUUCUGUUUUCAUAAUUCAUAAUCUUGUAUUUAUUCCUUAAUUUAUUUAUUUAAAUAUUUAUUUAAAUGUAAAAAAAAUAUAGCUAAGUGCACAUGGAAAACAAAACUGAAUAAAUAAAUGAAUGAACAAAAAACACCACAAAACAACAACAACAACAACAACAACAAAACAACAAAAAAAACCUACAGCAUCACUUAUGUCUUCAUCAGAGGGCAAACCACACUUAGGAAAAAUGUUAUUCUCAGCAACUAAGUGCCAGAUUUAGCUUUGAGUACUCAGGCUUCAAAACAGCAAGCCACUUCCAGAACUAUUCCAUCAUUUGUGAAGCAUGUCUGAAAGCAUCUACAGGUAAGAUAACUAUAAUAAAAUUAUUUACGUAUUUGUUGAGACGUAUUUGUUUUAGAGGACACACGCAAAAUAAUUAUUAAAAUAAUAAAAAUCCAGCACUUCUAAGCUUGCUUCUACUCCUGUAGAAACAUGUUAUUCAAGGACAUUUAUACAUCCAAGCUGCGAGGAAGACAGUUCCAGACUUGUCUAACCUGUGCCCCCAUCUCUAACUGAAGAAUUAAAUAUUACACACUCUGACAGGUCCACACAAGCAUCUAUUCUAGGUUGUUUUGUUUUUUUCACCUUAACACAAAUCUCUUCAAGAUUUCUUGAAGUCUUUAUCUUCCAUGCUCACAUACUGGCUAUAUUCCACCAGUACAGAAGAAAGACUAAUUUGUAACAUUUUUCUUGGAUUGACUUUUUUGUGGAUUAGUUGUGGCAUGUACUCAUUACAGAAAUGUGCCAUUAUACACGUUGCAUACUUUGACUUCCAUUGUGUUUUAGGUUGCUGUCUGUUAGCAUACAUGAAACCAUGCUAAGUAACUGUUUGCUUAUUAUGAAGACACAGGGGAAAUUUAUAGAGUAGAAAAUUCUUGUCUUACUCAUCCUUCUUCCCUUUCCAGAACUCUUGGGUUUUUAAAUUCAAGACAAGAAUAUCAAGCAUGUAUUUCUACAUCUUGGAAUAUAACGUAGGACUUCUAGCAUAUGCAACAACACAGCCAUAGAAGAAUAUUAUCUAAAAAAAUGAGUAUGUCAUAUAAUAAAACAACAUAUUUUGCAAAUAUGUAUCUGCUAUUGGUUUAGCACUUCUUCUGAAAGAUGUAUUUUUCAGAUAGCUUGUGUUUUCCUGACCAGGCACUCAUAGGCAGUGCUUUUACAUUAAAUUUUUACAUGAUAUAUAUGUAUGUAUUAAUAAGAAUCUGAGAACAAAAAGCUGUAUUUACUUUCAUGAAUACAACUUGUGACUGGAACCAGAAGGAAUGCCACAGUCCAAGAAAGUCAUCUUGCUGUGCUUUUUUCUUACCUAAGAGAGCUCUGGUUUUGAACAUGGGUGAGAUGGCCAAAGAAAUACUGGGACUAUUAUCUUCUAAUAACUUCUGUCUAAAUGACAAUUACUACAAACCUGGUUCAUGUCAGAUGAAAUGCAAUAUUCUUUGCAGUGACAUGGUUCAAAAGAAAAGGUUUAAAAUCUGUGAAUGUUCCAGUCCCGUAAAAAGCAUUUCUAUCAGGCAGCAUUCACUUUAAGACAAUCUAUAGCUUUUAAUUCUUAAAAAAAAUACAUUUUUUUUUCUCUAAUGCAUACAUACAGCCCCUCUUCAGCUUUUUCAGAGUGAUGCUGUGUUAAUCUAGUGAAGGUCAGUCUGAGAAAACUCAACUAACAAAGAAAGUGCUCUUAUGAAUCGUAUCACGUCAUGUCAGGCUCACAGAUAAAUGGGCAUUAGCUAUAGAUUGAGAUACUUACCAGUUCAUCAAAUUCCUUCAUAUGUCUGGUAUUUUAUCUUUGAUUAUGUACCAUUGGGUUCAAUUUAAUAUUUUGUAAGUUAUUAGUUUGUAAUUGUUUUCAUAUAUUUGUACAUUAAAUACAGAAGGAGUGGGUGUAAUCUGAAGCACAACUGAAUUUUCUCUCCCUCUGCUACAAUAUAGAUAAUCAUGAUUUAUUAUGAUAGGUAGUAAUUUGCUUGCAAUGAAUCAUAUUUUAUCAAGAAGCAAAAUAAGUAUUUUUAUCUCUGAAGAAUUCUCUGUGCUUUUUUUCCCCUUCUUUGUGUUUCAUUUGUAACUUUUCUUUAUGGCUUAGGAGUUUCAUGACUCAGAGAGACACUAGAGCACAGCUCAAAUUUUGGACUGUAUGUUUUAAAGACAAUGUGAGAUUAAAUAGCCAAGAUAAUGGAAGAGUGAACAGAUUUACACAUCCUUACUUCUCUAACUGUUUCUGAUCUUCGGGGUAAUGUUUGUCACACCACCAUUCAGAGUAUUUGGAAAGUAGCCUGACUCACGUUUUGGCAUGACUAUAAGGAGACCUGUGUCCUAUGGCUGUCCCCCAUUUUGUUUCUUCAAAACACUUUUGUGUCUUCACUUCAUCUUGGCAGCGAGGUCUUGAUCCAUACUGACAACGAGAACAUUGGAAUUCAUUCUCCUUAAAAAAUAAACAAACAAACAACAACAACAAGGGAGUGGGAAGGAUUUUCAUUCAUGACUGACUGGGAGACUGGGAAAGCUGCAGCUAUCUGCAGUGACUGCACUGGAAAGACACCUGAGAAUGUGAGUGCUUUUCCUGGAAUUAGAAAGCAAGGGUGAAUGUGAAGAAGACUGAAGGCCUUGAUAUUAAGGAAGUCAUUUAUAUGAAAUACAGCAUGCCAUCCCAACAAAUGAUAAAAACUCAUGACUGCUGAACCAGAAAUAUCUGACUCCUUACAAUAUUUAUUGCAAAGUAGUAGUUUCCAGUGAAAAUUCCUGUGACAAAAGUGAAGGGACUAUCUGCUAUUUAGGGUAUAUGGCAGAUGGCAAUGGGUCAUGUAGUGUAUCUCCCUGACACUGUUCAUUUUCCAGGCCAGUUGGUUACAUUUGACAGGUCUACUCAGAAAUCAUUAACCUGAUCUGCCCAUGUCUGUCAUGUCUCUAGCAUAAUGCAUCUUCAUGGUAUAAGGUAAACUGGGUACCUGGAGGGUAAAGGAAAUAAAAAAGACUCAUAGCCUAUAUAAAUCAAAAGAAAAAGGAGAAAAGGAAGCCACUUAGAAGAGUAGGUGUCAUUGAUUGACUGUAAUUUUAAAGGGUCUUUCUUAUGAUGGACAAAUUUCUGAAGUGUUCAUUAACUAAUGGAAUUAUGGUGGCUGACUGCUGCUGUCUCCACAGAACAUCAGGUUAAAAAGCACAGAUAAAUAAUGGGUUUUCCUUUAUUAUGGAUCAGUGUCCUCACUGUCUGGAGCUCAUGUGAAGAUGCUGUUAAGGAUUAAGGGGCUUUCAUUACUGAAAUUCAUGUUUAUGCUUUUCUGUUCCUCAAUAAUGGUAUACACAUGCACAAGGGAAUAGGAAGGGGGAAAAGAAGGGAAGAUGGAAAUGUUGCCAGCAGAGAAGAAAAUUAUUCUGAAAUGCUUGGUAAUAAAUGCUUUUCCUACUGCAAAACACCAAAUGAAACUGAACUCAGAGGGUUAAACAAUAGAGGCAUAGCACCUGGUCUUUAAUAUAUUCAAUUAUCCAGAAAACAAAAUCAAUUUUGUUUUUGUUAAUAGCACUGAAAUAUGCAUUACACUAUUUUAAUUAAAGCAGUCUAUUACGCUUGCAAUUCAGUUCAUUCCUGCAUAUUCCCCUAGGGCAGUAGUCAUGUACUGUGAUAAAACAUAAUGAAAAUAAUUUAUAAAAGAAACAAUACAAUAAAUCAAUCUGAUGCCUAAUGAACCUUCAUUACAAGGAUGGAUGCAAUAUUUUCUUAGAAUAUGUAGUGCUUUCUCCUUAAAUUAUUGGAAGAAUGCCUCAAAGCACUUAAAAAAAUAGCACCUUUCUGCAUCUCAGCAUGCUUUCAAAGCAUCAUAUCUUAAAAUCUCAGCAUUUCUUGGCAAAACAAACAGCAAUCCCUUUCAUUUACACUAGCUUUCUGUUUUUUUCUCUUAUCUUUAGUUAGAUUCAUCUGCCUCAUAGUGACACCUGUAGAGACCACAGGGAUUUCACUCAUUUGCAUACUUUAGCAGUCAGCUCUUUAUUGUCUGUAUUCCAGUAGACCUAAAUUUUAUAGGUGAGAUAAUUUUAUGUCUGGGGACGUGAGCUAUUCAAACAUCAAGUAUAAAACAGGCUGUUCCCUGAAGAUCUCACAGUGCCAGCAGGCAAACAGAAAGCUAAAAGGUGAGACAGAGGGGCCAUUAACAUUUUCAUACCAGACGCACGGAGAAGGGCAGUAAGCAGAGGUGACGUAUUCUAAACGAUUCUGGAUGCCACCUCUGAAAGACCAGAAGUCUCCUGGAAGGACCAGAUUUCAUCAGUGAUUAUGCAGAAUGUCCAUGGCCCAGCCCAGUCCUCCCAUCUUCUAAAUGUUCACCCCGUCAUGAGAAUUUCUAUAUAUACCACUACAAGGUUAAGUUCUACCUCAUCUUGUUCUCUUGUACAGGGUAGCCAUAAUUCUGGCAGCUGUGAAUAAAUAAAGUUACUCAAUGGGAAUUCUCAGUGCCACAACCAAGCCUUUAAUAGACCUGAAGUUCCUGUGUAGUAAUUUAGGAAUAAAAAAUACUGCUCUGGUUAUUUAUUAUUUGUUCUGGAAAAAUUGGAUGUAAAUAAUGGUUCAAGACAAAUACUAUCAAUUACUUAAACACUGUUAGAGAGCAGUGGCAGAACUAUUAGCUUCUAUGUUUGUCUCCUCUUGCACCAAACCACAAAGCUGCUCUCGAGUACCACAGGACAAGCUGCUGAAGCAGUUUGCAGAGACACUCCAACAGAUUCCAGGCAGGCACCUGGAGGAGCAGUGCCAGCCGGCUGCCGAAAUGGCCUGGCAGGAGUUCAUUCCAGAGGUGCCUGCUGGUUGGGAGCAUAUCAGCUCACAGGAAGCUGUUUUGAACCUUAACACUCAGCUCAUACUGGGGUACAAAUUUAGCAGCAACAAGAAUGUUAGCAACAGCUAACAGCCACUGCUCCAUACCAUCUUGUCUUUAUGAGGAAUAGUGUCUCCUGGCUGGCCAAGGUACUGUUGCUAGUCCUGUAAUCGCUGCUGCAGAUAGGUGUUACAGGUUUGUCCUCUAAUCUGAGAGAGAGGGUAUAAAGUCCUUGGAAGCAUGCUAAUAUAUGCAGUAUUAAAUGUGUCUAAAGAAGCCGCAGAUCCCUAGGUUACCAUCAGCAGCCUUAGGUAGACAAAAAAGACAAGCUGACUGUUGUGUGGUUCUAUAAAUACUUUAUCACAAAUUUUUAUUCCUUUUGCCUAUACAACCAAAAACACUUUGCUGAAAUAGGUGAGCAAACUUAAAAUGCUCAGAUAAAGCUCACACAGACAAGCAGGUAGCAUAAAUCCUUUGCAUUUUCACUUUGUAUUCAUAGUUUCUGCCACAUGUGACUUUUUUUCUAGCUGAAAAAUUGUUUUACUUGUCAGAAAUGGUGUUCAUGUAUGAAAAACUAUCUUAGAUGGAAAAGAAGUGAUUGUGAGUGUUACUCUUGCCAUUGUUUCCUCCUAUAGCCCACAGUUUUCUGACUCCUACACUGUUUUCAGUAUAGACAAAUCAGUGAUUUUGCUCCAUUUUAAAGAGUACCACAUUAGCACAGAAGAAAAAGAAAGCCAGUAAUUCCAUUCAUAUUUUAGAUUCAUUUGUUUUGAUAGAUCUUACCUUUCAAAGUGGGAAGCAUUCAAUGUCACUUGUUUUCCCUUUUAAUGACCAAUAGCUUAUUUUAGGUAGAUAGAACAGAAAUGGAUAAGGAUAUAAAAUCUCAAGUAUCAGAGCAAAAGGUACUAUUAUUUGCCCCCAGAAUUGUCCUUCCUGAGGGACUCAUUACCACACAAUUACUGGCUGAAAGCUUUGCUCACCUUUCUUUCAUCUUUCUUGCCAUCCUUUGUCAACAAGAAACUAAUUGAUGGACUGUUGGAUUCAAGUAGAAUUACUAUCCAUUGUAUUCAUAUACCUCAUUGUAUAUUAAUUACAUUUAAAAAUCUAGAUGAUUAUUGCCAGAUAUUUAUUUUCUUGCAGAAAAGAACUUGCUAUUCAUUGCAAGUAUUCCAUCUUAUUCCAUCAUUUCAGACAGACAGAAGCCAGAGAAAAAUUAGGGAAUAAGGUAUACUGUAAAGUAAGUUAAUUAGAAUAUAAUUAAAAGUGAUAAAAUUACAGCAUAUGCCAACAUCCAUCAAGUCUUUAUGGGACAUGAGAGAACUGGAAUUUAUUACGUGGUCAGAUUUGAACUAUUUUCAACAAAAAGAAAGAAGAGGCAUCUGCCUGAUGAAUACACAGCAACUACUUUUGAUCCAAGUACUGAAUCCUUCUUAGGACUCUAUAGUACACAUGUAGAGAUUCUUUCCUAAGGUCUCUGCUUGAUUAUGUCAAAAUAAAAUAUCUUAGGGUUUUUAACAUGCAAUGAAAAUUAAAGAAACAUGGCAGAUAGAUAUACUACAAAGAAGAAUUUUCAUUCUGUGAAGUACAGUAAAUUAACAAAUAACUGGAAUAGCUUCAGCUAUUAAUGAAACAUUUAGGCAAUCUCUAAAUGUAGGCACUGCCAUAUGUGCUUAUUUCUAUGUACAUCAAGUUCUGCUCUCUGUUAUAAAUUGCAGUCAAUACCUGUCUACGAAAUGAAAGAAUUUUGGCCUAGUGCCUCUUUGGGGUAUCUCAUUCUGUUAAAUAACUUACUUCUGAGAAACUUAGCUAGAUCUUCACUAUUCAGUAACUCAUGAUUGCCUUUUUAAUUAAAAGCUUGAACCUUA
Gallus gallus (chicken) is the source of this 10294-nucleotide long non-coding RNA. RefSeq lists it as uncharacterized. NCBI's taxonomy places the organism in Eukaryota, Metazoa, Chordata, Aves, Galliformes, Phasianidae. The transcript is spliced from 13 exons. The record is from RefSeq and is a predicted model, not a curated record.